This 253-nucleotide ribosomal RNA is filed under the name uncultured bacterium. RNAcentral's name for it is "partial 16S ribosomal RNA". It matches the Rfam family "Bacterial small subunit ribosomal RNA", at positions 524 to 776 of the family's 1533-position model. The record is from RNAcentral.
UACGUAGGGUGCGAGCGUUAAUCGGAAUUACUGGGCGUAAAGCGUGCGCAGGCGGCUUUGCAAGACAGAUGUGAAAUCCCCGGGCUCAACCUGGGAACUGCAUUUGUGACUGCAAGGCUAGAGUGCGGCAGAGGGAGAUGGAAUUCCGCGUGUAGCAGUGAAAUGCGUAGAUAUGCGGAGGAACACCGAUGGCGAAGGCAAUCUCCUGGGCCUGCACUGACGCUCAUGCACGAAAGCGUGGGGAGCAAACAGG